Molecule: ribosomal RNA, 907 nt
Filed under: uncultured archaeon
Lineage: Archaea
Description: bacterial SSU rRNA
Rfam family: Archaeal small subunit ribosomal RNA
Source: RNAcentral
UUCCGGUUGAUCCUGCCGGACCUGACUGCUAUCGGAUUGAUACUAAGCCAUGCGAGUCAUUGUAGCAAUACAAGGCAGACGGCUCAGUAACGCGUAGUCAACCUAACCUAUGGACGGGAAUAACCUCGGGAAACUGAGAAUAAUGCCCGAUAGAACACUAUACCUGGAAUGGUUUGUGUUCCAAAUGAUUUAUCGCCGUAGGAUGGGACUGCGGCCUAUCAGUUUGUUGGUGAGGUAAUGGCCCACCAAGACUAUUACAGGUACGGGCUCUGAGAGGAGUAGCCCGGAGAUGGGUACUGAGACACGGACCCAGGCCCUAUGGGGCGCAGCAGGCGAGAAAACUUUGCAAUGUGCGAAAGCACGACAAGGUUAAUCCGAGUGAUUUGUGCUAAACGAAUCUUUUGUUAGUCCUAGAAACACUAACGAAUAAGGGGUGGGCAAGUUCUGGUGUCAGCCGCCGCGGUAAAACCAGCACCUCAAGUGGUCAGGAUGAUUAUUGGGUCUAAAGCAUCCGUAGCCGGCUCUGUAAGUUUUCGGUUAAAUCUGUACGCUCAACGUACAGGCUGCCGGGAAUACUGCAGAGCUAGGGAGUGGGAGAGGUAGACGGUACUCGGUAGGAAGGGGUAAAAUCCUUUGAUCUAUUGAUGACCACCUGCGGCGAAGGCGGUCUACCAGAACACGUCCGACGGUGAGGGAUGAAAGCUGGGGGAGCAAACCGGAUUAGAUACCCGGGUAGUCCCAGCUGUAAACUAUGCAAACUCAGUGAUGCAUUGACUUGUGGUCAAUGCAGUGCUGCAGGGAAGCCGUUAAGUUUGCCGCCUGGGAGUACGUACGCAAGUAUGAAACUUAAAGGAAUUGCGGGGAGCACCACAAGGGUGAAGCCUGCGUUCAUUGGAGUCAACGCCGG